Molecule: transfer RNA, 75 nt
Filed under: Pteropus alecto (black flying fox)
Lineage: Eukaryota; Metazoa; Chordata; Mammalia; Chiroptera; Pteropodidae
Also listed under: 1 other name
Rfam family: tRNA
About the family: Transfer RNA (tRNA) molecules are approximately 80 nucleotides in length. Their secondary structure includes four short double-helical elements and three loops (D, anti-codon, and T loops). Further hydrogen bonds mediate the characteristic L-shaped molecular structure. tRNAs have two regions of fundamental functional importance: the anti-codon, which is responsible for specific mRNA codon recognition, and the 3' end, to which the tRNAs corresponding amino acid is attached (by aminoacyl-tRNA synthetases). tRNAs cope with the degeneracy of the genetic code in two manners: having more than one tRNA (with a specific anti-codon) for a particular amino acid; and 'wobble' base-pairing, i.e. permitting non-standard base-pairing at the 3rd anti-codon position.
Source: Rfam by way of RNAcentral
GGCUCCAUAAUGUAGUGGUUAGCACAUCUGCUUUACACACAGAAUGUCCUGGGUUCGCACGCCCAGGUGGAGCCA